CAGCCGCCGCGGGAAUACGUAGGGUGCGAGCGUUAAUCGGAAUUACUGGGCGUAAAGCGUGCGCAGGCGGUUCGUUAAGACAGAUGUGAAAUCCCCGGGCUUAACCUGGGAACUGCAUUUGUGACUGGCGAGCUAGAGUAUGGCAGAGGGGGGUAGAAUUCCACGUGUAGCAGUGAAAUGCGUAGAGAUGUGGAGGAAUACCGAUGGCGAAGGCAGCCCCCUGGGCCAAUACUGACGCUCAUGCACGAAAGCGUGGGGAGCAAACAGGAUUAGAGACCCGCGUAGUCCCUGUCUCUUAUAC
Molecule: ribosomal RNA, 301 nt
Filed under: uncultured bacterium
Lineage: Bacteria
Description: partial 16S ribosomal RNA
Rfam family: Bacterial small subunit ribosomal RNA
Source: RNAcentral